GAUGAACGCUGGCGGCGUGCCUAAUACAUGCAAGUCGAGCGAACAGACGAGGAGCUUGCUCCUCUGACGUUAGCGGCGGACGGGUGAGUAACACGUGGAUAACCUACCUAUAAGACUGGGAUAACUUCGGGAAACCGGAGCUAAUACCGGAUAAUAUAUUGAACCGCAUGGUUCAAUAGUGAAAGACGGUUUUGCUGUCACUUAUAGAUGGAUCCGCGCCGCAUUAGCUAGUUGGUAAGGUAACGGCUUACCAAGGCAACGAUGCGUAGCCGACCUGAGAGGGUGUCCGGCCACACUGGAACGGGGACAGGGUCCAGACUCCUACGGGAGGCAGCAGUAGGGAAUCUUCCGCAAUGGGCGAAAGCCUGGCGGAGCAACGCCGCGUGAGUGAUGAGGGUCUUCGGAUCGUAAAACUCUGUUAUUAGGGAAGAACAAAUGUGUAAGUAACUAUGCACGUCUUGACGGUACCUAAUCAGAAAGCCACGGCUAACUACGUG
RNAcentral lists this ribosomal RNA (497 nucleotides) under uncultured bacterium. RNAcentral's name for it is "partial 16S ribosomal RNA". It matches the Rfam family "Bacterial small subunit ribosomal RNA", at positions 28 to 507 of the family's 1533-position model. The record is from RNAcentral.